GAUUUUUAUGGAAUUCUUUCCGUCGGAAGAGAGGAUUAGGAUACGAAGAUUGGGGACGAACGAGGGCUGGAAUUGAGGGACUUUGAAUAGGGCUCGUUCAAAUGAAGAAAUGCAUACGAGGAACGACGGAAGAGGAAACAGGUCAGGGGUAUUUUGGUCUCCUUUUGAGAUUUGAUAUGUCUUUGGACCGCUUAUUAAAUGCACAGUCAACAGGGACUAUUCAUUAUACAGGGGUCAAAAUUUGGACCGCGAAGCAAAUUCCCCUUUUAUUAAUUUCAUGUAAGAUGAUAGGAGUAGGCCAUUGGUACUCACGUGCAGAGAUAAUCAAGAUUCUUUUUCCAUAGCGUUUGUUUAUAUCAUAGUCACAUGCUCAAUAGAAGAGUCCAUUUUUGCCAUUAAAAAAAGUUACAAAAGUAAAAACAAGUUACACCACCUGCAAUGCAUCCU
This 447-nucleotide long non-coding RNA is filed under the name Phoenix dactylifera (date palm). Its description in RNAcentral is "long non-coding RNA (PDAC_LNC000598)". Lineage: Eukaryota; Viridiplantae; Streptophyta; Magnoliopsida; Arecales; Arecaceae. The record is from RNAcentral.